UUUGCAUAUUUCAUUAGCGGAGGAAAAGAAACCAACAGGGAUUGCCUCAGUAACGGCGAGUGAAGCGGCAAAAGCUCAAAUUUGAAAUCCCCCCGGGGAGUUGUAAUUUGAAGAUUGCGUCUUGGAGGCGACCGUGUCUAUGUUCCUUGGAACAGGACGUCACAGAGGGUGAGAAUCCCGUGCGGCACGGCCCCCGGCUCCUUAUAAGGCGCUCUCGACGAGUCGAGUUGUUUGGGAAUGCAGCUCAAAGUGGGUGGUAAAUUCCAUCUAAAGCUAAAUACAGGCGAGAGACCGAUAGCGAACAAGUACAGUGAUGGAAAGAUGAAAAGCACUUUGAAAAGAGAGUGAAACAGCACGUGAAAUUGUUGAAAGGGAAGGGCAUGCCGUCAGAUUGUCAGUGUGGGUAAGAAGCGGGGUACAAAGACUGUGGAACGUGGCCCUCGGGUGUUAUAGCCGCAGUUCAUGCCCCGUCUCUUUCCGAGGCCUGCUUUGAGGACACCGACGUAAUGACGGUACGCCGCCCGUCUUAAACCCCCGGAACCAA
Molecule: ribosomal RNA, 544 nt
Filed under: Kodamaea ohmeri
Lineage: Eukaryota; Fungi; Ascomycota; Pichiomycetes; Serinales; Debaryomycetaceae
Description: partial large subunit ribosomal RNA
Rfam family: Eukaryotic large subunit ribosomal RNA
Source: RNAcentral